AUGGCCAUCAUGAGGGAACUCACCGAUGCCUCCAAUCCAUCCAUGGUUUAUUGGCAAAGCAUAGACCACCCCACAGACACCUGGCUUCCGGGGGCCAAGCUUGGACUGAACAAGAUCACUGGUGUGAGCAAGAGGCUUGUUUCUUGGAAGAACAGCUCAGACCCAUCUCCUGGGCUGUUCUCUGUGGGGUUAGACCCAAAAGGCACAAACCAGUUUUUAAUCCAGUGGAACGAAUCCGUAAACUACUGGACCAGUGGCGUCUGGAACGGCAAGUACUUCAGCGCUAUGCUAGAGGCUACCAAGAACAUAUACGACUUCCAAUUCAUCAACAACGCCAUAGAAACCUACCUCUUGUACUCGAUGAAGAAUGAUUCAGUAGUCUCGCGGUUCAUCAUUGACGUGACCGGACAGAUCAAGCAGCUAAAAUGGGAGGAUUCCAGACAACAGUGGGUCAUAUUCGGGAUCCUACCACGGUCAGCGUGCGACGUGUAUGCGCUUUGUGGGGCAUACGGCAGCUGCACCAACCCCCUCAAUGCCAGUGACAGAUAUUACAACUCCUCCUCAGGCUUGCAGCAUCCGAGCUGCCAGAUCAACAAAGCAGGAAAACAAGGAUCAAUGGUUCAGUUGUUGGUGGAGUUGCUGCAGUUUUGA
This 651-nucleotide ribosomal RNA is filed under the name Triticum aestivum (bread wheat). Its description in RNAcentral is "partial small subunit ribosomal RNA". Lineage: Eukaryota; Viridiplantae; Streptophyta; Magnoliopsida; Poales; Poaceae. The record is from RNAcentral.